Molecule: ribosomal RNA, 504 nt
Filed under: uncultured bacterium
Lineage: Bacteria
Description: bacterial SSU rRNA
Rfam family: Bacterial small subunit ribosomal RNA
Source: RNAcentral
AGAGUUUGAUCCUGGCUCAGAUUGAACGCUGGCGGAAUGCUUUACACAUGCAAGUCGAGCGGCAGCGCGGGGCAACCUGGCGGCGAGCGGCGAACGGGUGAGUAACACAUCGGAACGUGCCCAGACGUGGGGGAUAGCCCGGCGAAAGCCGGAUUAAUACCGCAUACGAUCUAAGGAUGAAAGCGGGGGACUCGCAAGGGCCUCGCGCGUUUGGAGCGGCCGAUGGCAGAUUAGGUAGUUGGUGGGGUAAAGGCUUACCAAGCCUGCGAUCUGUAGCUGGUCUGAGAGGAUGAUCAGCCACACUGGGACUGAGACACGGCCCAGACUCCUACGGGAGGCAGCAGUGGGGAAUUUUGGACAAUGGGCGCAAGCCUGAUCCAGCCAUUCCGCGUGCAGGACGAAGGCCUUCGGGUUGUAAACUGCUUUUGUACGGAACGAAAAGGUCUUCUCUAAUACAGAGGGCCCAUGACGGUACCGUAAGAAUAAGCACCGGCUAACUACGUG